AACAGAGCGAAGAAUAUUCACGCUCACAGGAAAGAGAGGAACCGCGAAGCUCGCCAACGUUUUGUGACAAGACGCUACAUGUUAAGAAGCCCUGCGGUUUGCUCCUGUGGUUUAUCCUUGAGCUCCGUUCUCAACAGGGAGUCAAUGACCUGAGGGCCUUUGGACAAAGGCUUAGGCAUCCUUGUCUUUAGAAUUAACUGACUCCCAUUGGCACCCAGCGCUGGGAACUGCUGAAGGGAAGUGCUCACUAAGCCCGCCCCCUCCCCUCCCUCGAUGAAAAUGGCAGAGUCUAGGCCAGCUGACUGUGCUUCAGAUGCCUCUCUCUAUUUUUUAUGGCUACAUCCAUCAUCUACCUGAGAUCAAGAAACCACCCAAAUGUAACCCAAUAUUGAGAUCGUGGUGGUGUGAGCUUUUUCUCAGCAUGUUCGACCUGUCACGGCCACAGUAACAUCUGGUCCUCACAAAUCUUCCUGAGAAGAAGGUUCUUGUAGAUGGUUCAGGGCAUAGGAAAGCGUUUCUGAUACCACCUUGUUCAGAUUUAAUGGCCGUUUCCAUAAGACAAAGGCAUAAAGAAGAUAUGAAAUUUCUAAUAUUCUAGAAGUCAGCUUUAAGAAUUUCCGCUCACUCAUUACUUUACGCUAGAUCAGUCAUUCUCAACCUGUGGGUCGAGGUCCUUUUGGGGGUCACAUAUCAGAUAUCCUACAUAUUAGAUAUUUCUAUUGCAAUUCAUAACAGUAGUGAAAUUACAGUUAUGAAGUAGCAAUGAAAUAACUUUAUGGUCCGGAGUCACCACAACACAAGGAACUGCAUUAAAGGGUCGCAGCAUUGAGAAGGCUGAAAACCACUGACCUAGACAACUGUGGCUCUACCUUGGUCCCUGUGAAACCCUGUGGCAUUCACCAUUCCUUCCUCCCCAUACUGACUAACACACCCACCAGGAAAUACAUGACUAGAUUUCUUUCUGUGGUUCAGGUUGAAGCUCAGUGUAGAGAGCUUGCCCAACCAGUGUGAGACUUCUCCCUCUGUGACAGGAAUAAGAAAGAAACUUGUCAUCUGGAAUCAGUCAUAGAAGUCCAACACCCCUGAAAUGAAACUUAGCAUGGUGUCGCUGAUUUCCCAGGAAGAUCCCCCAAGAGCACCCAGAUGAACAUAAGUCAGCAACAGUGAGGAGAGUCAGCUCUGAACUCAAUGUGAACUCGGUAAAAACACAAGCUACU
Non-coding RNA from Rattus norvegicus (Norway rat), 1217 nucleotides. The record is from RefSeq and is a predicted model, not a curated record. NCBI's taxonomy places the organism in Eukaryota, Metazoa, Chordata, Mammalia, Rodentia, Muridae.